This 764-nucleotide ribosomal RNA is filed under the name Acinetobacter schindleri. Its description in RNAcentral is "bacterial SSU rRNA". It matches the Rfam family "Bacterial small subunit ribosomal RNA", at positions 31 to 788 of the family's 1533-position model. Lineage: Bacteria; Pseudomonadati; Pseudomonadota; Gammaproteobacteria; Moraxellales; Moraxellaceae. The record is from RNAcentral.
GCGUGCAGAUCGGCGUGCUUACACAUGCAGUCGAGCGGGGCAGGUUGCUUGCUGCCUGGCCUAGCGGCGGACGGGUGAGUGAUGCUUAGGAAUCUGCCUAUUAGUGGGGGACAACAUUCCGAAAGGGAUGCUAAUACCGCAUACGCCCUACGGGGGAAAGCAGGGGAUCUUCGGACCUUGCGCUAAUAGAUGAGCCUAAGUCGGAUUAGCUAGGUGGUGGGGUAAAGGCCUACCAAGGCGACGAUCUGUAGCGGGUCUGAGAGGAUGAUCCGCCACACUGGGACUGAGACACGGCCCAGACUCCUACGGGAGGCAGCAGUGGGGAAUAUUGGACAAUGGGCGGAAGCCUGAUCCAGCCAUGCCGCGUGUGUGAAGAAGGCCUUUUGGUUGUAAAGCACUUUAAGCGAGGAGGAGGCUCCUUUAGUUAAUACCUAAAGAGAGUGGACGUUACUCGCAGAAUAAGCACCGGCUAACUCUGUGCCAGCAGCCGCGGUAAUACAGAGGGUGCGAGCGUUAAUCGGAUUUACUGGGCGUAAAGCGUGCGUAGGCGGCUUUUUUAAGUCGGAUGUGAAAUCCCUGAGCUUAACUUGGGAAUUGCAUUCGAUACUGGGAAGCUAGAGUAUGGGAGAGGAUGGUAUAAUUCCAGGUGUAGCGGUGAAAUGCGUAGAGAUCUGGAGGAAUACCGAUGGCGAAGGGCAGCCAUCUGGCCUAAUACUGACUCUGAGGUGCGAAAGCAUGGGGAGCAAACAGGAAUUAGAUAGCCU